RNAcentral lists this ribosomal RNA (523 nucleotides) under uncultured Alphaproteobacteria bacterium. RNAcentral describes it as "bacterial SSU rRNA". It matches the Rfam family "Bacterial small subunit ribosomal RNA", at positions 355 to 896 of the family's 1533-position model. The record is from RNAcentral. Lineage: Bacteria; Pseudomonadati; Pseudomonadota; Alphaproteobacteria.
UGGGGAAUAUUGGACAAUGGGGGCAACCCUGAUCCAGCCAUGCCGCGUGAGUGAUGACGGCCUUAGGGUUGUAAAGCUCUUUUCUCCGGGACGAUAAUGACGGUACCGGAGGAAUAAGCCCCGGCUAACUUCGUGCCAGCAGCCGCGGUAAUACGAAGGGGGCUAGCGUUGCUCGGAAUCACUGGGCGUAAAGGGCGCGUAGGCGGCUGAUUUARUCGAGGGUGAAAGCCCGUGGCUCAACCACGGAAUGGCCUUCGAUACUGGUUGGCUUGAGACCGGAAGAGGACAGCGGAACUGCGAGUGUAGAGGUGAAAUUCGUAGAUAUUCGCAAGAACACCAGUGGCGAAGGCGGCUGUCUGGUCCGGUUCUGACGCUGAGGCGCGAAAGCGUGGGGAGCAAACAGGAUUAGAUACCCUGGUAGUCCACGCUGUAAACGAUGAAUGCUAGCCGUUGGGGUGCAUGCACCUCAGUGGCGCCGCUAACGCAUUAAGCAUUCCGCCUGGGGAGUACGGUCGCAAGAUUA